ACUAUUUUGGCAGAUAAGUGUAAUGGUUUUAGAAGUCAUAAAUAUAUAAUUAUAUUAUAUAAGUAGUA
RNAcentral lists this transfer RNA (68 nucleotides) under Epinotia rubiginosana. Its description in RNAcentral is "tRNA-Leu". The record is from RNAcentral. Lineage: Eukaryota; Metazoa; Arthropoda; Insecta; Lepidoptera; Tortricidae.